UACGUAGCCGACCUGAGAGGGUGAUCGGCCACACUGGAACUGAGACACGGUCCAGACUCCUACGGGAGGCAGCAGUAGGGAAUCUUCCGCAAUGGGCGAAAGCCUGACGGAGCAACGCCGCGUGAGUGAUGAAGGUCUUCGGAUCGUAAAGCUCUGUUGUUAGGGAAGAACAAAUGUGUAAGUAACUGUGCACAUCUUGACGGUACCUAACCAGAAAGCCACGGCUAACUACGUGCCAGCAGCCGCGGUAAUACGUAGGUGGCAAGCGUUAUCCGGAAUUAUUGGGCGUAAAGCGCGCGUAGGCGGUUUUUUAAGUCUGAUGUGAAAGCCCACGGCUCAACCGUGGAGGGUCAUUGGAAACUGGAAAACUUGAGUGCAGAAGAGGAAAGUGGAAUUCCAUGUGUAGCGGUGAAAUGCGCAGAGAUAUGGAGGAACACCAGUGGCGAAGGCGGCUUUCUGGUCUGCAACUGACGCUGAUGUGCGAAAGCGUGGGGAUCAAACAGGAUUAGAUACCCUGGUAGUCCACGCCGUAAACGAUGAGUGCUAAGUGUUAGGGGGUUUCCGCCCCUUAGUGCUGCAGCUAACGCAUUAAGCACUCCGCCUGGGGAGUACGGUCGCAAGACUGAAACUCAAAGGAAUUGACGGGGACCCGCACAAGCGGUGGAGCAUGUGGUUUAAUUCGAAGCAACGCGAAGAACCUUACCAAAUCUUGACAUCCUUUGACCGCUCUAGAGAUAGAGUUUUCCUCUUCGGAGGACAAAGUGACAGGUGGUGCAUGGUUGUCGUCAGCUCGUGUCGUGAGAUGUUGGGUUAAGUCCCGCAACGAGCGCAACCCUUGAACUUAGUUGCCAUCAUUCAGUUGGGCACUCUAAGUUGACUGCCGGUGACAAACCGGAGGAAGGUGGGGAUGACGUCAAAUCAUCAUGCCCCUUAUGAUUUGGGCUACACACGUGCUACAAUGGACAAUACAAAGGGCAGCGAAACCGCGAGGUCAAGCAAAUCCCAUAAAGUUGUUCUCAGUUCGGAUUGUAGUCUGCAACUCGACUACAUGAAGCUGGAAUCGCUAGUAAUCGUAGAUCAGCAUGCUACGGUGAAUACGUUCCCGGGUCUUGUACACACCGCCCGUCACACCACGAGAGUUUGUAACACCCGAAGCCGGUGGAGUAACCAUUUUGGAGCUAGCCGUCGAAGGUGGGACAAAUGAUUGGGGUGAAGUCGUAACAAGGUAGCCGUAUCGGAAGGUGCGGCUGGAUCACCUCCUUUCUA
This 1266-nucleotide ribosomal RNA is filed under the name Staphylococcus pseudintermedius. RNAcentral's name for it is "bacterial SSU rRNA". It matches the Rfam family "Bacterial small subunit ribosomal RNA", at positions 280 to 1533 of the family's 1533-position model. Lineage: Bacteria; Bacillati; Bacillota; Bacilli; Caryophanales; Staphylococcaceae. The record is from RNAcentral.